AUGGCUGACAUCAUCCUGACUCAGAGUCCUACAGUGGAGUCCGUCUCUGUAGGAGGGAGUGUCACUCUCAACUGCAGGGCCAGCAGCACAAGUGUAGGAGACUCUAUAGUCUGGUAUCUGAAGAGACCUGGAGAAACUCACAAACUCCUGUUCAGCUAUGUGGGUAACAGAGCAUCAGGGAUUCCAGCUCGAUUCACCGAUGGCAAAGAUGGAGCCAACUACAUGCUGAAAAUCAGUGGGCUGCAGGCAGAAGAUACAGGAGAUUAUUACUGUCAGCAGCACUACGGGUCUCCAUUAACACAACGAUAG
Molecule: non-coding RNA, 309 nt
Organism: Megalops cyprinoides (Indo-Pacific tarpon)
Lineage: Eukaryota; Metazoa; Chordata; Actinopteri; Elopiformes; Megalopidae
Source: the annotation of a RefSeq genome assembly